RNAcentral lists this ribosomal RNA (509 nucleotides) under uncultured bacterium. Its description in RNAcentral is "partial 16S ribosomal RNA". It matches the Rfam family "Bacterial small subunit ribosomal RNA", at positions 28 to 507 of the family's 1533-position model. The record is from RNAcentral.
GACGAACGCUGGCGGCGUGCUUAACACAUGCAAGUCGAACGAAGAGCGAUGGAAGCUUGCUUCUAUCAAUCUUAGUGGCGAACGGGUGAGUAACGCGUAAUCAACCUGCCCUUCAGAGGGGGACAACAGUUGGAAACGACUGCUAAUACCGCAUACGAUCUAACCUCGGCAUCGAGGAUAGAUGAAAGGUGGCCUCUACAUGUAAGCUAUCACUGAAGGAGGGGAUUGCGUCGGAUUAGCUAGGUGGAGGGGUAACGGCCCACCAAGGCGACGGUCAGUAGCUGGUCGCAGAGGAUGAGCAGCCACACGGGAAGUGAGACACGGUCGAGACUCGUACGGGAGGCAGCAGUGGGGAAUAUUGGACAAUGGGCGGAAGCAUGAGCCAGCAAUACAGCGUGGGUGAAGAAGGACUGCGGGUUGGAAAACGCUUGGGUUGGGAAAGAAAAGCAGCAGGUUAAUACCCAGAUGUGCUGACGGUACCAAAAGAAUAAGCACCGGCUAACUUCGUG